Molecule: long non-coding RNA, 392 nt
Organism: Corticium candelabrum
Lineage: Eukaryota; Metazoa; Porifera; Homoscleromorpha; Homosclerophorida; Plakinidae
Exons: 3
Source: RefSeq, a predicted model, not a curated record
CACGUGUGUGUACGUGUGUGUGCAUGCGUGCACAUGUGUGCAUGUGUGUGUGCAAGCAUGCUUGGAGUAGAUGUAGAUUUCUCAACUCGUGUGUUGUCUAUGCAACAGAUGAAAUCUGAACGUUCCGUCGCCGCUCAGUCCAGCUUCGAUGCACUCGUGAAAUACUGCGAAACAGCAUCUCGAUGCAGACACGAAUCAAUAGCAGAUUUCUUUGGCGAGAAAGACAAGCCAGCAUGUGACCAAGGAUGUGACUACUGUCAAGAUCCCGAUGCCACACAAAAGUCACUUCACCAGUUGGAGGAAUCCUCGUUCACCCAUUUACAUCAUAAUAGCAAGACCAUGGCUAUUAUAUCAAAACGUGUACCCGACCCAUCACUCUACGGUGGUGGCCG